This 826-nucleotide ribosomal RNA is filed under the name uncultured bacterium. RNAcentral's name for it is "bacterial SSU rRNA". It matches the Rfam family "Bacterial small subunit ribosomal RNA", at positions 9 to 873 of the family's 1533-position model. The record is from RNAcentral.
AGAGUUUGAUCCUGGCUCAGGAUGAACGCUGGCGGUAUGCUUAACACAUGCAAGUCGAACGGAUGUUUUCGGACAUUAGUGGCGGACGGGUGAGUAACGCGUGAGAAUCUGCCUAUAGGUUGGGGACAACAGAUGGAAACGUCUGCUAAUACCCGAUGUGCCGAGAGGUAAAAGCUUUAGUGCCUGUAGAUGAGCUCGCGUCCGAUUAGCUAGUUGGUUAGGUAAAGGCUGACCAAGGCGACGAUCGGUAGCUGGUCUGAGAGGAUGAUCAGCCACACUGGGACUGAGACACGGCCCAGACUCCUACGGGAGGCAGCAGUGGGGAAUUUUCCGCAAUGGGCGAAAGCCUGACGGAGCAAUACCGCGUGCGGGACGAAGGCUUUUGGGUCGUAAACCGCUUUUGUUAGGGAAGAAGAACUGACGGUACCUAACGAAUCAGCAUCGGCUAACUCCGUGCCAGCAGCCGCGGUAAUACGGGGGAUGCAAGCGUUAUCCGGAAUUAUUGGGCGUAAAGCGUCCGCAGGUGGUUUAUCAAGUCUGCUGUCAAAGCGUGGGGCUUAACCCCAUAAAGGCAGUGGAAACUGAGAGACUAGAGUACGGUAGGGGUAGCGGGAAUUCCCAGUGUAGCGGUGAAAUGCGUAGAUAUUGGGAAGAACACCAGCGGCGAAGGCGCGCUACUGGGCCGAAACUGACACUCAUGGACGAAAGCUAGGGGAGCGAAAGGGAUUAGAUACCCCUGUAGUCCUAGCUGUAAACGAUGACAACUAGGUGUUGCGCGUAUCGACCCGUGCAGUGCCGUAGCUAACGCGUUAAGUNUCCGCCUGGA